AAGGGUCCGUAGGCGGGUUUAAUAAGUCAGUGGUGAAAGCCCAUCGCUCAACGGUGGAACGGCCAUUGAUACUGUUAAACUUGAAUUAUUAGGAAGUAACUAGAAUAUGUAGUGUAGCGGUGAAAUGCUUAGAGAUUACAUGGAAUACCAAUUGCGAAGGCAGGUUACUACUAAUGGAUUGACGCUGAUGGACGAAAGCGUGGGUAGCGAACAGGAUUAGAUACCCGAGU
Molecule: ribosomal RNA, 230 nt
Filed under: uncultured bacterium
Lineage: Bacteria
Description: partial 16S ribosomal RNA
Rfam family: Bacterial small subunit ribosomal RNA
Source: RNAcentral